Molecule: ribosomal RNA, 253 nt
Filed under: uncultured bacterium
Lineage: Bacteria
Description: partial 16S ribosomal RNA
Rfam family: Bacterial small subunit ribosomal RNA
Source: RNAcentral
UACGUAGGGUGCAAGCGUUAAUCGGAAUUACUGGGCGUAAAGCGUGCGUAGACGGUUAUUUAAGUCGGAUGUGAAAGCCCCGGGCUCAACCUGGGAAUUGCAUUCGAGACUGAAUAGCUAGGGUGCGGUAGAGGGAAGCGGAAUUUCCGGUGUAGCGGUGAAAUGCGUAGAUAUCGGAAGGAACAUCAGUGGCGAAAGCGGCUUCCUGGACCAGCACCGACGUUCAGGCACGAAAGCGUGGGGAGCAAACAGG